GAGUUGUAUUCAUUGACAAUAGGAAUCUCCACCACUGAAAAUUGUGUCGUGUUGAGGUAUCCUCGUUACAGUGUUUCUGUGCCACCUCAGCUUGAAUAAAACUACACCUAAUAUCAUGUCCUUGUCCCGGAGUCCUGCAUUUGGGUCUAGCCCCGCACCAGAGUGCUUAUCCUGGUUAGGGUCACAGGUCGCAGUUGACUUCAGGCGAAAGGCGGACUCCACUCUGAACUGGUCACCAGUCCGCUACAGGCCACAUAGAGACAGCCAUUCGGCGUCAACGAACGGGAACUGAACCCACGUCUGCACCAAAGUAAUGGAGUAGUGGCACACACGACUGACAUUGGUGAAGGCAGCAUGGGAUCGAUUUCCGCUCAGUGAUGGUGUUGAUGUAUGCCCUGCAACUGACUGGCAACCAAUUCAAGGUGUAGUCUGCCUAUCGCCCGAUGUUAGCUGGGAUAGGCCCUGGCUCUGCCCUUGUGAGGGUAAGCGACUUGGACAAUGGACAUGGACAUGUUAUCUUGUACUACAAAUAUUUAUUAUUCAUAUUAAAAUAGUUUUGACCUGACCCCAUUCUCAGAUGAUGUCUCCAGUAUCUCCGGACACAAACGUAUUUAUUGGCUUGUUGUUUUGUUGUCCAAACUUUGCAACACCACCUUCCAGCCAGACUAAUGUGACGGACUAAUUGUAGCACCGAAUCACUUAUUUUGGGGUUUUGCGACUUCAUGACACGAUAGCUUAGCAAUUAGCAUCAUGCU
Long non-coding RNA from Syngnathoides biaculeatus (alligator pipefish), 755 nucleotides. RefSeq lists it as uncharacterized. The transcript is spliced from 3 exons. Lineage: Eukaryota; Metazoa; Chordata; Actinopteri; Syngnathiformes; Syngnathidae. The record is from RefSeq and is a predicted model, not a curated record.